This is a non-coding RNA of Penaeus vannamei (Pacific white shrimp), 482 nucleotides long. The record is from RefSeq and is a predicted model, not a curated record. NCBI's taxonomy places the organism in Eukaryota, Metazoa, Arthropoda, Malacostraca, Decapoda, Penaeidae.
UCCUGACGAAAACGAAGAGGCAAGAUCGGCUCCCCCGAGAAGCCCCUGAGCGACCUGGGCCUCAUCUCCUACCGCUCCUACUGGAAGGACCUCCUGCUCAGCUACCUGGCCACCUACUCCGAGAAGAACGUGUACAUCAAAGACAUGAGCACGGAGAUGGCCGUGAGCUGUACGACAUCGUGGAGCACGUUCCAGGCCAUGGGCAGAUGAAGUAACUGGAAGGGGAAAGCACAUCCUCCUGCUCAGGAGACAGGACCUUCUGGAGGAGUUCCUGGAGCGGCAGAAGCGGCGUCGCGCGGACUACAAGGAGAUCGACCCCAAGUGCCUCAACUGGCGGCCGUACGUCCCGCCCCCGCCCUCCGAGGACCAGGCCAGCUCCAACAAGAACAAGGCGGCGGCGGCCAACAAGGCGGCGGCGGACAGGAAGAAGGCGGCGGCGGCGGCGUCCUCGCAGUAGAGGGGGGAAGGAAGGAAGGAAGAGG